Molecule: non-coding RNA, 446 nt
Organism: Peromyscus maniculatus bairdii (prairie deer mouse)
Lineage: Eukaryota; Metazoa; Chordata; Mammalia; Rodentia; Cricetidae
Source: RefSeq, a predicted model, not a curated record
CAAGCCAAGUGAGUAAUCAGAGUCCAAGGCUCCUGCUAUCGCUGACUGCCUGGCAACAGCUGGCAGAUGAGCCAUUGACCUUUGCUGCCCUAGGUCCACAACCUCUAGCUGGGGUGCUCCAUCGGGUGACAUACCUGAUCCUGCCACAAGAAGAGCAAUUACAUCCACCUCCACCGGACUGUGGCUGUGAAUGAAACAGUAACAUUUGAUCUAUUGAAUCCAAAAAGGGCAUGGAAGCAGAUCCAGUAGAGAUAUGUCAUUCAAUUUGAAGCUCAGUUUUCAUCAGUCAGCAUUUGGGGUUUCGUGUCUGAUGGUGCAGCAGUGGCAAGAGGAGGCAAGAGGCAGGAGGCUGCAACAGCAGCUGAGAACCACAGCUUGAACUGCAAGCCUGAGGCAGACAGGUGACCUUCCGAGAAGGAUAUCAGAAACACCGGGGAAAAAGAAUG